This 637-nucleotide small RNA is filed under the name Lactifluus melleus. RNAcentral's name for it is "eukaryotic LSU rRNA". The stretch from base 256 to 409 matches the Rfam family "5.8S ribosomal RNA". The record is from RNAcentral. Lineage: Eukaryota; Fungi; Basidiomycota; Agaricomycetes; Russulales; Russulaceae.
UCUUGGUCAUUUAGAGGAAGUAAAAGUCGUAACAAGGUUUCCGUAGGUGACACCUGCGGAAGGAUCAUUAUCGUACAACCAGAGGUCGCCAGGGCUGUCGCUGACCCUUUCGAGGGUCGUGCACGCCCCCGAGCGUCCUCGUUCAAUCCAUCUCACCUUUGUGCAUCACCGCGCGGGCUCCCUUUUAAAAAAGGGGGGCUUGCGUUUUUCCACACAAACGCAUAGUAUAGAAUGUCUUUUAAACGCAAUCAAUACAACUUUCAACAACGGAUCUCUUGGCUCUCGCAUCGAUGAAGAACGCAGCGAAAUGCGAUACGUAAUGUGAAUUGCAGAAUUCAGUGAAUCAUCGAAUCUUUGAACGCACCUUGCGCCCCUUGGCAUUCCGAGGGGCACACCCGUUUGAGUGUCGUGAAAUCCUCAACCUUCUUCCUUUUCUUUGAAUCGGGGGAAAGGCUUGGACUUUGGAGGCUUUUGCUGGCCUCUCCCUCUUUUGAAGCCAGCUCCUCUUAAACAAAUUAGCGGGGGUUCCCUUUGCCGAUCCUCGACGUGCGAUAAGCUAUUUCUACGUCUUGAGAGGCAGAGACCUGCUUCCAAUCGUCUCGCAGAGACAAUCGACGAACCCCUUUGGCCCCANAUA